Molecule: long non-coding RNA, 4436 nt
Organism: Homo sapiens (human)
Lineage: Eukaryota; Metazoa; Chordata; Mammalia; Primates; Hominidae
Exons: 2
Source: RefSeq, a predicted model, not a curated record
CCAUUCUAGGGUUUUUUUUUUUUUUACUGAAGGGAGCCAUUCUAGGAGGGUUUUCUACUGAAGGGGGCCAUUCUAGGAUGGUUUUCUACUGAAGGGGGCCGUUCUAAGAGGGUUUUCUACUUAAGGGGGCCAUUCUAGGAGGGUUUUCUACUGAAGGGGGUCAUUCUAGGAGGGUUUUCUACUGAGAGGAGCCAUUCUAGGAGGGUUUUCUACUGAAGGGGGCCAUUCUAGGAGGGUUUUCUACUGAGGGGGACCAUUCUAGGAGGGUUUUCUAUUGAAGGGGGGCCAUUCUAGGAGGGUUUUCUAUUGAAGGAGGCCAUUCUAGGAGUGUUUUCUAUUGAAGGGAACCAUUCUAGGAGGGUUUUCUAUUGAAGGAGGCCAUUCUAGGAGGUUUUCUACUGAAGGGAGCCAUUCUAGGAGGAUUUUGUAUUGAAGGGAGCCAUUCCAGGAGGGUUUUCUAUUGAGGGGAGCCAUUCUAGGAGGGUUUUGUAUUGAAGGGAGCCAUUCCAGGAGGGUUUUCUAUUGAGGGGAGCCAUUCUAGGAGGGUUUUCUAUUGAAGGAGGCCAUUCUAGGAGGUUUUCUACUGAAGGGAGCCAUUCUAGGAGGAUUUUGUAUUGAAGGGAACCAUUCUAGGAGGGUUUUCUAUUGAAGGAGGGCAUUCUAGGAGGGUUUUCUACUGAAGGAGGCCAUUCUAGAAGGGUUUUCUAUUGAGGGGGAGCCAUUCCAGUAGGGUUUUCUAUUGAGGGGAGCCAUUCUAGGAGGGUUUUCUAUUGAGGGGAGCCAUUCUAGGAGGGUUUUCUAUUGAAGGGAGCCACUCUAGGACGGUUUUCUACUGAAGGAGGCCAUUCAAGGAGGGUUUUCUAUUGAAGGGAGCCAUUCUAGGACGGUUUUCUACUGAAGGAGGCCAUUCUAGGAGGGUUUUCUAUUGAAGGGAGCCAUUCUAGGAGGGUUUUCUACUGAAGGGGGCCAUUCUAGGAGGGUUUUCUGCUGAAGGAAGCCAUUCUAGGAGGGUUUUCUAUUGAAGGGAGCCAUUCUAGGAUGGUUUUCUAUUGAAGGGAGCCAUUCUAGGAGGGUUUUCUACUGAAGGAGGCCAUUCUAGGAGGGUUUUCUAUUGAAGAGAGCCAUUCUAGGAGGGUUUUCUAUUGAAGGGAGCCAUUCUAGGAGGGUUUUCUAUUGAAGGGAGCCAUUCUAGGAGGGUGAGGUGCUUGUCACUUACUUGUGAGUGACACCUGUGAUGAACUGUGUUCAAAAGCAAAUUAUCAAAUGAGAAUAGAACCAUUUGGACUCUGUAGAGGAUAAGACUCUAAGGGUUCUAGGAGCAGGAUUGCUUCAACAUCUCAGACGUAUUUUCUUCUGGGAAGAGUCUUGCCAGAUAAGCAGAGUGAGAGAGUCUAUUAAACCGCACCUGUAUACAGCAUCUAGCAGGCAGCAGUGAGUGUACUGACAAUGCAUUUCCCAUUCUAACAAAAUGUGACUUUUGUGUGAGUUGCUCACCUGCGGGCGGUAUCACACACGCAUCAAAAUAAAAAUCAGUGGGGGUACUUAAAGCACCACAAAGUGGAGAGAGCAGAGGCUUUGCAGUGCACUGGUUCUGUGACUUUGCUCCAAGACUUGGUUUUCUCAUCUGUAAAAUGGAGACAAUAGCUCACAGAGAGGCUGGAGGUGAGGGUGACUGAGUGCUUUCUAGAUACUCAUCACCACUCCAGGGCUGGGAGGCUGGGCUGGCACAGACCCCUUGCUGUUGCUGAGCCCCCGCACCCGGGCCUGCCUAGGCCUCAGAUCCACUCACACAGAGGUCAGCGAAGGCUUCCAGAGGCGUCCAAAGGAAGCGUCUGUGCACCAGGUAGAUCCUUGUCCUGUGUGGGUCUCAUUUGGCCUGAGAAAAAGCCACAGCUCUUCACAGGGAGAGCCAGGGCCCCUCGCGUGGGAAGCUCGUGUGCUGUUAUUUUCCAGCGGAAUUCCAGGGUGGAAACACGGAGGCAGCUGACUAUCGAGAAUCCUAGGAGAAUGGGCUUUCUGUGUGACGUGUGCCUGGAAGGGCUUCCUGAGGCUUUAUUUCCCCUGCUCUUCCCUGCUCUGUCCCAGCAGAGCUGUUUUUGUAAAGCACACAUAGUAUUUGCCAUUCGUCACAUUUAUUAUGCCAGGGACUCUGUUCUCCAUCCCCCUCUGUGAGUUACGGCCCAUCCUAUGCUGUGUUUCCACACCCAUGUUGCAUUUGGCAGGAGCCUUCCUGACACCGAACCACCCUAAGCUGACAAAUGUCUAUAGCUCGGGGAGCACGAGAGGGAGCUCACGAGAUGGCAGACAGACCAGGAUGUGCACAGAACGUAACCCUGGGUUGUGGACUCAGCUUUCCUUCCUGAAGCGCCUGAAGCAAAUAGAGAAUAGUCGUAGUUGAGCCUGAGUUUCCAGAGGGGCAGAAAACCAACUUGCGUGUUUUCUUUUUAUUGUUGCUUUUUUGAAAAAAUGGUCCUAAUUUCAGCUUGUUUUUCCAACCAUGUGAAAGGAUGGACUGGACGCUGCGCAGAAGUGGAGAUCUUAGGUAAGAAGAAAGGAUAGGAAGGUUGAUGGGAAAUGAAUUGGCUGUCACUGUCCUUCCUGUCCAGAUGCAUUUGGAGGCUUUCUGGAGAAUGGUUUCCAAACUCAGUAUGUGCUGAAUGUUUCCCCAAUCUAUGGGGAAAUGAAAAGAAGACAGUGCAGUCAAUUUCUGAAAGUUAACCACUUUCAGCAUUAAUAGAACAAACGAAACCCUGGGAGCAGCCUUCAUGCUUGUUUGACGUUGCAGGGCGGCCUGUGAUUGAAGCCGUCAUGUAAGAUGAUGCUGUGAGAUGUGAGUGAGUGCACGUGCCUGUGAUGUGCGCUGGGUCUGUGAAGUGUGCACGUGCCUGUGACGUGUGCUGGGUCUGUGAGGUGUGAAUGUGUCUAUGAGGUGUGCAUGUGCCUAUGAAGUGUGCUGGGUCUGUGAGGUGUGCACGGGUCUGUGAGAUGUGCAUGGGUCUGUGAGGUGUGCACGUGCCUAUGAUGUGUGCACGUGCCUAUGAAGUGUGCUGGGUCUGUGAGGUGUGCACGGGUCUGUGAGGUGUGCAUGGGUCUGUGAGGUGUGCACGUGCCUAUAAUGUGUGCACGUGCCUAUGAAGUGUGCUGGGUCUGUGAGGUGUGCACGUGCCUAUGAAGUGUGCUGGGUCUGUGAGGUGUGAAUGUGUCUAUGAGGUGUGCAUGUGCCUAUGAAGUGUGCUGGGUCUGUGAGGUGUGCACGGGUCUGUGAGAUGUGCAUGGGUCUGUGAGGUGUGCACGUGCCUAUGAAGUGUGCUGGAUCUGUGAGGUGUGCACGGGUCUGUGAGGUGUGCAUGGGUCUGUGAGGUGUGCACGUGCCUAUGAAGUGUGCUGGAUCUGUGAGGUGUGCAUAGGUCUGUGACGUGCUGGGUCUGUGAGGUGUGUACGGGUCUGUGAGGUGUGCAUGGGUCUGUGACAUGUGCUGGGUCUGUGAGGUGUGCACGGGUCUGUGAGGUGUGCACGUGCCUAUGAAGUGUGCUGGGUCUGUGAUGUGUGCACAGGUCUGUGAGGUGUGCACGGGUCUGUGAGGUGUGCAUGGGUCUGUGAGGUGUGCACGUGCCUAUGAAGUGUGCUGGAUCUGUGAGGUGUGCAUAGGUCUGUGACGUGCUGGGUCUGUGAGGUGUGUACGGGUCUGUGAGGUGUGCAUGGGUCUGUGACAUGUGCUGGGUCUGUGAGGUGUGCACGUGCCUAUGAAGUGUGCUGGGUCUGUGAUGUGUGCACAGGUCUGUGAGGUGUGCACGGGUCUGUGAGGUGUGCAUGGGUCUGUGAGGUGUGCACGUGCCUGUGAUGUGUACUGUAUCUGUGAGGUGUGCACGGGUCUGUGAGGUGUGCAUGGGUCUGUGACAUGUGCUGGAUCUGUGAGGUGUGCAUGGGUCUGUGACGUGUGCUGGAUCUGUGAGGUGUGCACGGGUCUGUGACAUGUGCUGGAUCUGUGAGGUGUGCACGGGUCUGUGACAUGUGCUGGGUCUGUGAGGUGUGCACGGGUCUGUGACAUGUGCUGGGUCUGGGUCUGUGAUGUGUGCAUGUGCUUAUGGAGUAUGCUGGAUCUGUGAGGUGUGCAUGGGUCUGAGAGGUGUGCAUGGGUCUGUGACACGUGCUGGGUCUGUGGGGUGUGCAUGGGUCUGUGACAUGUGCUCGGUCUGUGAUGUGUGCACGUGCCUGUGAAGUGUGCUGGGUCUGUGAGGUGUGCAUAGGGUGGGUGAGGUGUGCACGUGCCUGUGAAGUGUGCAUGGGUCUUCAGUGUGUCUGCAUCUGGCAUGUGAGAGAUCCAGCAGUGCCAUACUGUCCCUGAAAUUAGGGGAAAACAAUGAGAAACCCAAACAUCUGCAAGUAACUGCUUUCCAUUUUCAGGGAAGAUUUAUAGCCUUUUUUUUUUUUUUUUU